Molecule: long non-coding RNA, 1068 nt
Filed under: Sus scrofa (pig)
Lineage: Eukaryota; Metazoa; Chordata; Mammalia; Artiodactyla; Suidae
Description: lncRNA (ENSSSCG00015051583.1)
Source: RNAcentral
GACACAGGCACCGGCUUAGAGACCUCAGUCCCCCGGAGGAGGCUGGUCUGUGGGCAUCUUAGGACAUCCGUGAGAAGGCUCCAGAUGGAAAAUGCUGGAGGGCCCAGGUUUUCAGGAAGGCACCUCCUCACCUUUCAGUCCGGGAGAACUUGUUCCAGCAAAGCCAGGGAGAGAGGCUCGCCGGCCCAGGCCUCUCCAGCUUCUCUUAAAGGCGAAAAGAGAAGCUGAGGACCCCGCACGCUCCCCAGCGCAUGGAGCUGAAGCCACGACCCCAAGGAUCCCAUCCAAGAAACCCUAUCAUGUUCAGUCAUCAGGUCUCCUUGGGCUCCUCUCGGCUGUGAUGGUUUCUCAGACUUGCCUUGUUUUUGAUGACCUGGGCAGUUCUGAGGCGUGCUGGUCAGGUGUUUUGCAGAAUGUUCUUCAGCUGGCAUUUGUUUGCUGAUUUUCCUCAUGAUGAAACGAGGGUCACGGGUUUGGGGGAAGAAAACCACAGGGAUAAGGGGCCAUUCUCGUCACAUAUCAAGGGCACAUACUGUCACCAUGACUUCUCGUUGCUGACGCUGACACUGACCCCCUGGCUGAGGCCGUGUUGGUCACUGUCCAGUUCCUCCUUUGGCCCUUUCCACGCUGUCCUCUUUGGAAGGAAGCACAUACCUCUCUGCACAGCACACACGGAAGGGCUGGGGAGUGAGGCUCCGCUCCCUGGAGGCUGAGUGUCCACCUGAUUCGGGAUUCGUCUGCACAGUUCGUCUGUCCUCCCUCGUUUGUGUCCCUCUCCAGUCACCGCUUUCCAGCGCUAUGGACUCAGGGAUACUUCCUUGAGGCGCUGGGUUAUCAUCCACUACUACUUCAUUCUGUUGCUCAGGCCUUUCCAGAUGUGGCCACUGGAGGCGCUUUCCAUUGGCUCCUGCGUCCCUCUGAUCUAUCUCAUCGCUGUGCUUUUGUGGAGCGCAUCCUUCUGAUACGAAGACGCGCCAGACUCCAGCUGUAUAUUCCCUGUCCUCGUCCUGCAAUCAGUCAUUUCUCCCAGGAGCCCUGGUUUCUCUCAUGACACCACGGUGUUAAAAA